This 32-nucleotide small RNA is filed under the name Arabidopsis thaliana (thale cress). Its description in RNAcentral is "ATSL241130". The record is from RNAcentral. Lineage: Eukaryota; Viridiplantae; Streptophyta; Magnoliopsida; Brassicales; Brassicaceae.
UGUAUAUAUCAAGUGUCGGCAUGCAUGAAUGU